AACCAGUGAUGUAAAAGAUUCUGCCAAAUGAUAGAAUGUGAUUUUACUCAUAAACCGUUCCAUUAUUUUAAACUGAGGUU
Molecule: small nucleolar RNA, 80 nt
Filed under: Notamacropus eugenii (tammar wallaby)
Lineage: Eukaryota; Metazoa; Chordata; Mammalia; Diprotodontia; Macropodidae
Description: Small nucleolar RNA SNORD47 (ENSMEUG00000016820.1)
Rfam family: Small nucleolar RNA SNORD47
About the family: U47 belongs to the C/D class of snoRNA which contain the C (UGAUGA) and D (CUGA) box motifs. Most of the members of the box C/D family function in directing site-specific 2'-O-methylation of substrate RNAs.
Source: RNAcentral